CCUCACGCUCCUGCCUGGUCACCACCGAGCAUCAGGGUGGUCCGGACAGCGUGAGGGCAGCAGCUGAGCCCACGACUGAGCGAAUAGCAACUCUCAAGCCUGCUCCGAUCCGCACCUUCUCCGUCCAGCCGAGGGAGGGCAGGGUUUGUGCGAGAUCAUCAGUGCAGCGUCUGUCUAACACCAGAGUCGGGGACAGCAGAGUCACCGCAACCCCUGGGAGCUGGCUGCUGUAGAGUAAGCACCUCAGGCACCGCCGGAGAGAAGAGGCAGAGGGGCAGCUCUGUGCAGCCAGACCCCUGUUGUGUUCAGGAGCAUUAUACCCUGGAAACAUUUCAUCUUUAUGCAUUACUGUAAACUCCGCGUUCAUGUCCCCAGUUGUAUUAGCAAAUCAGAAGCUGAAAAUACAGGUAAACACAAAUGCCGUGUCAGUGCUUGUCAAGCACGCUGAGAGGGCCGGAGUAACAAGACAUCUAUCUCAGCAGCAGCCUCACCCUGUCUCCUCCCAGCAGCACCUGCAGUGGAGUCUCUGCUCCUCUGGGCGGUGUCCAGGGACAAACAAGCCCAGCCUUCCACCCCGAGCUCACGGCCCAGCCCCGUGGUUGAAACUGGCUACU
Molecule: RNA transcript, 614 nt
Organism: Fukomys damarensis (Damara mole-rat)
Lineage: Eukaryota; Metazoa; Chordata; Mammalia; Rodentia; Bathyergidae
Exons: 4
Source: RefSeq, a predicted model, not a curated record